This 503-nucleotide ribosomal RNA is filed under the name uncultured bacterium. RNAcentral's name for it is "partial 16S ribosomal RNA". It matches the Rfam family "Bacterial small subunit ribosomal RNA", at positions 30 to 523 of the family's 1533-position model. The record is from RNAcentral.
AUUGAACGCUGGCGGCAGGCUUAACACAUGCAAGUCGAGCGGGGUGAUGGUGCUCGCACUAUCACUUAGCGGCGGACGGGUGAGUAAUGCUUAGGAAUCUGCCUAUUAGUGGGGGACAACAUCUCGAAAGGGAUGCUAAUACCGCAUACGUCCUACGGGAGAAAGCAGGGGAUCACUUGUGACCUUGCGCUAAUAGAUGAGCCUAAGUCGGAUUAGCUAGUUGGUGGGGUAAAGGCCUACCAAGGCGACGAUCUGUAGCGGGUCUGAGAGGAUGGUCCGCCACACUGGGACUGAGACACGGCCCAGACUCCUACGGGAGGCAGCAGUGGGGAAUAUUGGACAAUGGGCGGAAGCCUGAUCCAGCAAUACCGCGUGUGUGAAGAAGGCCUUCGGGUUGUAAAGCACUUUUGUUAGGGAGGAUGGUGAUUUAGGCUAAUACCCUAAGUCGCUGACGUUACCUAAAGAAUAAGCACCGGCUAACUCCGUGCCAGCCGCCGCAGUAA